This 741-nucleotide long non-coding RNA is filed under the name Equus asinus (donkey). RNAcentral describes it as "lncRNA (ENSEASG00005032524.1)". Lineage: Eukaryota; Metazoa; Chordata; Mammalia; Perissodactyla; Equidae. The record is from RNAcentral.
UAAUGAGCGGUGCCAUGUCUGUGCGGAGGAUCCGAACUGGCAAAACCCUGGGCCGCCCAAGCGGAGCAUGGGAACCUAACCACUUGGCAACCGGGCCAGCCCCCUGAGCCUUUGUUUUUACCAAGUUACAUUCAGAGAUCAAACAAGAUGGACUUCACUGGAAAUUGGGACCUCCCAGAGGGUGGCUCACUGAACCCGGCGAGGGCCAUGAAAAUGUGGAAACACAUGUCUGGGGCUGCUGUUCCUGGUCCUUUUAUCAGUAUGGCCUGACUCCUCCAACUGGUUUUUAAAUGCCUUGAGGAGAGGCAGGAUGGCCCAGGCGAAAGGGCACUGGACAGAGUGUAGAGGCCAGAGCUGCCCAGCUGCCUGCGGAAGAAGCUGUGCUGACCAGGAGCAGAGGCCUGAACCUGUCCCUGAGCCUGGUGCUCGCAUGCAGGUCUACACUGAGACCAAGGCCACCCAGUCACUAACGCUCCGCGUUCAGCCAGCGGGACCUCGGAGCGGCUUCUCUAGGAAUCCCGUACUCUGUUUAGGUCCAGCCGGCGCCGCCGCCCCCAACCCCCACCCCGCUGCCCACCGGCUUCUGACCACUAUCUCCUUCUCCCCUUUCAUCCUCCAGGCCCACAGGACUCCCCACCCCAACUCUCCUGCCUCAGCAUCACCCAUCCUUUUUCUUCCUGCUGAUCCAGCGAGCCGGGCUUUCUCCUUCUCUGGUCUCUCCUCCUCUCCCCCUUGAAUCCA